This 58-nucleotide transfer RNA is filed under the name Rattus norvegicus (Norway rat). It matches the Rfam family "tRNA". From Rfam's summary of the family: Transfer RNA (tRNA) molecules are approximately 80 nucleotides in length. Their secondary structure includes four short double-helical elements and three loops (D, anti-codon, and T loops). The record is from Rfam by way of RNAcentral. Lineage: Eukaryota; Metazoa; Chordata; Mammalia; Rodentia; Muridae.
GGGGAUUUAGCUCAGUGGUAGAGCGCUUGCCUAGCAAGCGCAAUGGGUUCAGUCCCCA